GUUUCAGGCUUUUACUCAGAAAAAUGAGGGAGAAACAACACAUUCAAUGAGUGGACAGUGGAAAUUUCCAGACAUGAAGCCAGCACACGACCGGGAGAGCACCUUUCUUGAUUUUCCUUUUCUAUUGACGAAGCUUUUGUCCGGUUGAAAUACUAUUGAUUAUUUAUGACAAAAACAACUUGAAGAUUGAUUAUAAACAUCGUUUGGCAUGUUUCUACAAACCUUUAUGGUACUUUUUUGAUUUUUCGUCUGUCUGCGCUUUGUGACCGCGCUUUGUUCCAAUGGAAUACUGAACAAAACGCACCAACCAAAUGGAGGUUUUUAGACAUAAAGAGGGACAUUAUCGAACAACAAACAUUUAUUGUGUAACAUGGAGUCUUCGGAGUGCAACCAUAUGAAGAUCAUCAAAGACACAAGAUGUCCGUAACCCGGCCUAGUUCUCUACAGCUUCUGUGAGUGCUCCUACCCAUGCUAUGGCCUCUUUGUCUUCGUCUUCUGACGAUAAUGCGAAAUCGUCAUCAGAAAAUGUGGACCAAAACGCAGCAGGACGUGACACCGGCCUCUGUGAAGACCAUCUCGCCUUUGUCCCAGACCACCUCUGCUACAGCCUUUGUGAAGACCACCACUGUCUCUGUUGUCUCUCAGGGCACCGCUAGCUCUGCUAUAGCCUCUAAGAGGAACCUCAGAGAGCUGAUUGGUGUGUGAACUACCUGCUCAGGCAGACUGGGAAAGCCAUGCAGGACAUGAACCCCAACUCGGAGGAUACUGAUUCAAUGAAAUUACGUUGGACCAACAUGGAAUAGAUGUUGAAUUGACGUCUGUGUCCAGUGGGCUAUUAUCCCUACCACGUUAGAAGUUCAAAAUGGCAAUAGAAAUGAUUUCCCAGUCUUGAAAGCACCAUAAAACUCAUGGUACCCUUCGCCAGUUCAUAUCUAUGUGAAGCUGGAUUCAGUGCUC
This 957-nucleotide long non-coding RNA is filed under the name Salmo salar (Atlantic salmon). RNAcentral describes it as "lncRNA (ENSSSAG00000119534.1)". The record is from RNAcentral. Lineage: Eukaryota; Metazoa; Chordata; Actinopteri; Salmoniformes; Salmonidae.